Long non-coding RNA from Lolium perenne, 5604 nucleotides. RefSeq lists it as uncharacterized. The record is from RefSeq and is a predicted model, not a curated record. Lineage: Eukaryota; Viridiplantae; Streptophyta; Magnoliopsida; Poales; Poaceae.
GUCGUCGCUUCGUCCUCCCGCAAAACGCGCCUUCCGAAUUAACGCCUCUCUGAAACACACGCCCACACAGCGCCUCCGUCGCCCCUCUCUCUCCCAUCGUACGCCCCCGCCGCCCCUCUCUCUCCCAUUGGCACGCCCCUAGCACCGAGCAGCCCUCCGUCGCCAAUCCCGCCUCCUCGCCAAAGUCGCCCUCCCCGGGAGGCGACGCUUCACUUGGCGUUCGGGAGUCCGGCAGCUCGUGGUCCGAUCUCCUCCAAAUCUGGUCCAUCUCCAGCAAGCAGCCAAGCACCUCCAAGCCGAACGACCUAAUCCAACCCCGAUCUACAGAAUCAGCCGAUCGAUACUCACGAUCUCAGAUGCAGCAAUGGAGUUGCGCUCCUGUGGUAGCGAUCCCCGCGCACGAUUAUAACUGCAGUAUCACCAGCGGUCUGAGAUAUAAGGAGCUCCUAUAUCACCGAGUUUCAGAAAUCGAAGAUGACAAGUGUGGGUUUUCUCUACAGCUAGCUGGUACUCCUAAAUCCCUUGCUUCUCAAGACACUUUGUUAUGAAGUGUUUUCUAUGUUUCUUGCUGCCAUCGACGGUUGCAUCAAGUCUUGACAAACCAUCUGCUGCCGUGUCUUCGCGCUGAAGAUGCAAAGUCCUCUGUCCUUGCCCCAUGCCCUACCACAUAAUCCGCAGAAGCCAGGCUAUGCUCAGACGGUUGUCUCCGGGCGCUGCCCCCGCCGAUGCACCGCCCACCACACGGGCAGAUGGAGAGGCUAGACUCAGAGAGGAGACGGCGCGACAGGUUUAAGUGGACCAUGCUCUGAUCGGCGGCUGAAGGGGAUGCGAUGCCGCAAGGAUCAAGCACUCCGGGGAGCGACAUGGAGCGACGAAAGCCACCAAAUCGACGGGCAGGAGGAGGUGCUCACGGUUAUUGCGAGGGACGGCUCUGAUCCAGCGCCUUCACGGUUGGUUCAGAGCCCCUGCAGGGUGGGGAUAUUCGGCUGCUCCAAUCCUUUCUCUUAGGACAAGGUGCGGGUGGCCAUGGUGGCAUCAUGGGUCAGUAAGGCUUCUAGGUCUCCCCGGUCCUUAGCCUCUGCUGCACGGUAUUAUAUCAGCAUUAUUUCUUUUUGCACUUGGAUAAGGUAUAUGAUGCUUAGACAUUGAAUAUUUCCAUAUGCAUUUGAUAUUUAACAUAUUCCAACAUUCCAGACUUCAUAAAACCAUGUCUAAUAGAGUGUAUAUAUCCUUUGCAGUGUUUAUCUUGUAGGCACACUUAAACAUGUUUUUAAUGAACAAAUUAAGGUAGCUGCGUGGAAUAGUUGGCCUGUACAGGUUUUACUUACAUGGUUUCUAUAUUCUCCUGUUUAAAUGGAAAAUGGAACAUUCUCAUAUAAUGUUCCUACAAUCUGUACUAGAUGAUCUAUCAAUUUUGUGCAUGUCUAUUCUUUGUCUAUCUUUUCAUCGGAGAAAGUUCAGUUCUUUUGUCCUACGAUUAUUUUUCUGUUGGCAUAAUUGAAUUCCGUGAUUCGUGUGAACUCAAAAAACAUUCAGUAUGUAAUUCCAAACUGAGUCGUUGUAAGUAGUGUAUCAUAUUAUCCCCCUGAAUUGUUUCACAGAACGUUGGUAUUUGAAUCAUAGUUUUAAAUAGCCAGCUAUAGCCCGGCUAUAGCCUUUUAAACAAUGUGCGGCUAAAGGCAUUCACAUGCUAAAAGUUGGCUAUAGCCGGGGCUAUAGACUUUUUUCAUACGCCACGGCUAUAUUCUAUAGCCGGCUAUUUAAAACUAUGAUUUGAAUAGAUUUAGACAGUAGUAGUCAGUAUUAGUGCGCUAUAGAUAAAGAUAAUUUUUUAGUUGACAAGUUUUCAUUUUACUGAUUGAAUCUUAUUUCUAACAAUAUGGUUUAGAUGUAUUUAAAAUAUUAUCUAGACUACUGCCAUUACAUGUGGAUAAGUACUUUCUUUUGUAUGAAACACAUGAGUGUGAUGCUUUAAUUGUUAUGAUCAUCUACUCAAAUUUAUAAUUUCUUUUGUAUGAAAUACAUGAGUUUUUAUCCCCUUGAACAAAUCAAAAUAAUUGGAGUUUAUGGUCAUGUGUGAUUAUUCACUUUAUGAUCAUCUACUUUCAUGAGAAGCAGCAACGACCAAGAAAAGGCUGAAGAUUGACGCUGAUGUAUCCUAUCGAUCAUGAGAGGACUGUGAUGUAUCCUAUCGAUCAUGAGAGGACUGUGACGUGGGCUGAUGAUCAGAAGAAAUACAUGCUUGAUUGGUACAUGGACUACUUGAAAAAUGAACAUGUAGGAUUUAAGUUCAAGAAGCAACAUCAUUUGUCGUGUGCUGAUGCAUUAAAUAAGAAGUUCGCAAUAGGGGUGAACGUGGAUCAAGUGGUUUGUCAGUACAUGCACUAUAAAGAAAAUUGGAAGAUCAUUGCAGCAGCACUGAGCAAAAGUGGAAAUUCAUUUCACCACACCAGAUGCAUUGUGACUAUUUUAGAAUCUGAAAAGGCAACCCUGUGUGUAUGCUGUCUUAACCACAUUCAAGUUCUUAUGCGAGAAGGAAGGCUUAAAUCUGUGAACUCUACAAGUUGGUUGCAAGCUCAUUUUGUCUAUGUGUGCUACUCACAUAAUGACUAGAACAUGUUUAGUUACAAUACUACUGUUGUUGCUUAUCAAUGCUAGGUGAAUAGAGCUUGAUAAGCUGUUGUUCAUAAUCUGGUCCAACUUGGCUUUUGUCAUGAAUGUUAUGCACUACUUAACUGAGUGGUUGUUGAACAUGUUUGGUUCUUUAGUUAGCAGGGAGAAAUUAAUUAUUAAGCGAUACUAUGGAUGCUUGAGCUAGAUCUAUUAUCUGACGCUUGUUUCCUGUUGUUUUGUAACCAGCUAGGCCUGAAGUUAGUGAAUCUGGAAGUGCUUUGACUCUGGAAGUGCUUUAGCGGUUCAUGCUCUCUCCGUGGUUAAACAUGUUCUACUAACAAAGAAGUAUGGUGCAAACAUUACUGUAGUUGAAAUUGAUGAUAAGCCAAAGGAAUCAUUCCCGGAGCAUGAUACUCAAAUGUGAAGCAUUAGAUGGCACCUUUCUAAAGGUUAGAACCAUUUCAAUACAGUGACUACAUAGUCAAGUGGGGUACAAAUAUGAAUCAGUCCAUGCAACUAUGCAAGAUCAAAUUGGCUAUUAGUUACAGGUGAGUGGGACAGAACUUUUGCUAGCUUGACAAAUGCACUUUCUUCUUAUUCGUGUGCAUUUCAUUUUAGAGCAUCAUGAGAAUCAUGUUCUGUUUUUCUUCAUUUCUUGAUUGCCUGAAAAGAGUGAAUUUUCCACUUUGUUGUGCUGCUGUAGUUGUUGGAUGGUGAUCUGAAUUUCUGCCAAUUGAGGUGCAGUUUAAUUCCUGGCAGGAUUUGCUACAUGGUUACAGAGACCAUGAGAUAUAGUCUAGAGUUUGGUUUUUUGAGAACACCAAGAUCGUGAAAACAAUAAAGAAGGUGUAGUUAGCUUAGUAGAUUCAGGCCCUCAUCACACUAACAAGGUGUAUUGUUCAGUCAUUAUAAUAGCAUUACAUAAACAAUACAUUCUUCAUUCGCCAUCAUUGUACUACUCCACUAUACAAAAUACAUAAAUAAUUAUUGUAAGAUUAUCAGUGUCAUUUUUUGCACAUAGUUUAUGAUCUCAUGAAGCAUACAUGCAUGGUCCAUUGUCUAGAAAUUAAGAAAAUAUUUGGUCCUUAGUGUUACCCAUCAAUUAGAAAUUGUUGCAAAUCACCUGGUAGAGUAUACAAAUAUUGUUGUUAGUAAUAAUUACUAUCAGAUUAUUACUGAUGUUCAGGUGUUUCUAUUCAUACUGCAUACUCUGAAAUUGAUCGGAGAACGGAUAGAUUGGGAGCAAAGUUGCACUGUGAAGGGACUUGGUGUGGAUGCUAAGUUUAGCAUCAGUGGUAGCGGUUCCGAGGGGUUCAGGUGGUGGCAAAGACCUGCCAAAGCCAAAUAGUGUCAAUUAAAAGCGCAAGUCCUAUUCCUCGUGUUGUCUAGGAGUACAAAGGCGAUAGCUCAUGUUUUCAUUAUCUCGGAGCAUGCAUACACUGUUCUUUGCAAAUUACAUAUACUCUGCUAUUUUUUGAACUCUACACUCUGCUUUUCUAGAGGUUCUACAGUUAUGGGAUGUGUGUGUCACGUGAAGGCUUUAGUUGGUGCAUCAAAUCAUAAAAAAUCAUUAUGUAUCCUUUUAAUUUAAGAGGAUCGUAUCUCUAGAGAUAGUUUCCAAGUUAUUUAGUCCUUUCCAAGUUUGUUAGGAUUCUGGCCUUAGGCCUUAAGUAAUGUACCUGAGCUAUUUAUGCCUACCCCUAGACCCUUACGGGAAGCUAUCAAGAAAGAAUCAGAUCUAAUAUCUCUCCUCCCACAUUACUUCUUCCCAUGCCUCUGUUGUGCGACAACCCCCCGCGGCUCCCUGCGGCUGGAGUCGUGCUGCAGAGGUGCAGGGGUUCGACGUAUAUCCCACCAUGUGACAUUGUGUGUAUGAUACUAUGAUGCAUGCUCUCAAGUACAAUAAUAAGAAAAGAAAAAUAGCCGAGAGCAGAUAUCAUAUACCAUAAACUCCUAUUAUUUUGUUACUACUCCGGUGCAAAUAUUUUAGGGCUGUUAUUGAACAGGAUCAUUCAAGCUGCUCCUGCUGCUAUAAAUCUUGCAUAGCCUUUAAUUGUUGCAGUCUGCAUUUGGAGCUUUUUUCUGCUCUGGAUUAACAAGGAAAAUUCGGCUAGGCAUGGCUUAUUUUAGUUUCAGUAUGUCAGGUGCAGUGUUUAGAAGGGAGUAUUGUUGUAGCAAAACAUGCAUGAUAUGUAGAUACAUAAAUGGAUACUAAAUGAGAUUUAGAUAUGAUAUAACACCUUCUCCUUCGGAGUGUUACCUUCCUAUUCGGGUAGAGAGAAGCAGAGCCCCUGCUGCCGACGUUGCCUCCUGCACAGCCUGAUCUUGGGGACGAGCUGUUGGUGCAACCGGGAUAUUGGUGCCGAGCUGCCGACGCGGCCUCCGGCGUUGCCGGGAGGUUGGGCUCGAGCUGCCGCAGCUGCCGGUGUUGCCUCCUGCAUAGGCGGGAGGUUGUGGGCUAGCUGUCAGAGUGUCCUGGCUGCUGGCGAUCAGGUGGAUUGGUCGGCUGGAUCCUGGUCGAAUUGAUCCUGGUGUAGCUUGGCUGCUAGCGAUCGAUUCCAGAGCGGCCUGGCUCCUAGCAAUCGAUUCUGGAGCGGCCUGGCUCCUAGCGAUCCGGCGACGCGCGUGGAUGGACUCCGGAUGGACGCGACGAUCGGGAGCUUGGCGAUCAAUUCCAACGAAAUCCAGCUGGGUGGAUCGGAUCGAGAGUUCGCGAGCAGAUGGACGUGGUGCUGGGUGGAGAUGAUCCAGACGAUCGAUUCAAAAUCAAAUUGUUUCCGACAAGUGGGAGGGGUAUCAUUGUACAUUUUGCUGUUUUGGGGGUUGUCGGAGAAUCGGUUAGUGCAUAUAUAUGCUAUUCGGUUUCGUUCUGUUGGUAGUCGACUCACAUUAGCUUCAUCAAAUUUGUUACUAGCUGCAGUUUUUUAUCAGUACCGGUGCCUGCCCUGCUCCAUAUUUUUCUACUCGCUAUUUAAACUGCAUUGUUCUUCC